ACUGAAGAAAUAAUUGUUUAUCAAAAAAAAUGCCAAAGGCCUUGCCUAUCUUUCAUUCGUGCAGCUGAUACACAAGCAAGUGCUGCUAUUUCUUUUAUUCUGUUCUGUAUCCAAAUGAAAUCCAUACUUUUUGUGAAAGAUGACUGACACUUGUUCAUUCUGCCACCAAGGCUAAUAGUUUCUUCAGCUACUUUCUAUCUGCAGCAAUUUGAAAUAAAUUUCCCCAACACUAUGCAGCCAGUUGCAUCUAGAGAACACAGAAUAGACAUCACUGUCUUUCCAAGCAAGCCUGCACAUCAAGCCAAGGCUUGGUCUUUUAAGCGCAGAUUCCAAAGAUCCUCAUUAGUUCAGUGCUCUUGGCAAAGCCAAAACUUCCCAACCAAUCUCUAAAACAACUGCUAAUCACAUCUGUUCAUUCUCAUUUUUAAAACUAAGUCCCCGGUAGGAAUGUUUGCAUGUAUCUUAAAGUGUUCUACUAUCAAAAACACAGCUGAAUAGUCACAUCACUGAGGGCCAUGGUUAGUGGCCAUGGUGGUGUUGGCCAAGAUAAUCUUAGUGGUCUUUUCCAACUUUACUAGUUCUUCAAUUCCGUAUUUUUACUAUACUGUAUUUUUAUAAUGUAUAUUGUGCAAUAUACAUUAAGAGCCCACGUAAAUAAUAAACAAUUUCUAUUUGUAUAGCAUUUAUAUUUGUUUGGGUAACGGCAGCCCUGAAUUUUUUAAACAAAUGCUGCUUGGCAAAAAUGUCAAAUUGGAAAUUACCUAAGAAAAUAUUUACCUAAGAAAACAGGAAUUGAAGGUUGGGGGAACAAGCAGAAAAACCAGAGCACAGUGUGAUACAGACAGCGAUGAACUCUGGCUUCUAAGCUUCAAAAAUCCAAAAGUCUUACCGUGGGAAAAGUACACUAAAAAUCUUAUCAAGCAGUUCUAAAUAUGUUGACAUGUGGCAUCUUUCACAUGCUGCUUGAGUUACAAAGGAAGAAUGAAUAUUUCUUUAGCAGAAUUUCCCAACAGAAGUUAGCAGUAUUGACUAGACAGUUGGACUUCAAAUAUUUUGUGCACCCCACCCUAUUCAGCCAAAUCAAGCGUUCUGCAUGCCUAGGGCAUCAGUGCUAUACACACUGACCAUUCACAAUAAAGCAAUUAAGAAAUGAAGUGAACUGAGAACAAAGUAUUCUUCCAUCACAUGACUGAUUCUUUGGUUUCUAAUCCAAUGAGGGCCACACACUGCAAUUUGUUACAAACCUCGCCAGAGUUUAUAGCAGAUGUUGUGGCUAUGAACAAGUGCUUCCUUUGAGGUGCUGUAAGCUAGCUACUUGUUUGUUUUUCCCUCUAUUUUACAAAAGAAUAAUCAUAGAGAAUUAGGAACAAGUGAAAAAGAAGAGUAAAAAUAGAGAAAAGAAAAGCAUUGAAAGGAUAACGAGAAGAAGUUUGAAAGUAUCCAUGCAAAUCCCAUGUUACAGCUAGAAACAGAAAACCAAGAAAAGGACACGUGAACAUAAAAAGGUAAAGAAGGUGCUUAAACACACCGCCAAAAGCCAUCACACAGUUUUUGUUAAAAUUCACAGAAGCAUCCAGCUCCAGAGAUGGUUAAAUGAUUGUUAAGGUACUUACUUAUUACACAAUACUCUGGACAUGGUUGAAACAUAAAAAAUGUCCGACUACUAAGUUAUUAUGUUUUAAAUGCUGACUGGCUAUAUUUAAAAGUUCACAGCUAUUUUACUCUUUCUAGCUGUCAUGAACACAGAAAGCUUGAACAAAAUGAUUCCAAAUGGCCCCUUCCAACCUCAACCAUGCUGUGAUUCUGUGCUAAAAAGAAACUAUGUCAGCCUCUGGGAACUUUAAAUAAGUGUUCCAGCUUCUCCAGUUACAGUAUCUCUUAUAUGGACUCAACAGAAGCAUUGUAGAAGACUAAUUAAGAGGGAAGGGGACAGAGGGGGAAGAGAAGAAGGUAAAAUAUCUCAGUUUAUCUCACUGUAAGAAGAAGUAAAUGUCUCAGGGUUCUGAAUUAACCAAAGAGCAAAGAAAAAAGACAUCACAAGGCUUAUAUUAAAGUACCUACAUUUUA
Molecule: non-coding RNA, 2067 nt
Organism: Meleagris gallopavo (turkey)
Lineage: Eukaryota; Metazoa; Chordata; Aves; Galliformes; Phasianidae
Source: RefSeq, a predicted model, not a curated record